GACGAACGCUGGCGGCGUGCUUAACACAUGCAAGUCGAACGGUGAAGCGCCUUACUUUUUGGUGGGUGUGUAUGAGUUGCGAACGUGUGAGUAACACGUGAGUAACCUGCCCCCUUCUUCUGGAUAACCGCAUGAAAGUGUGGCUAAUACGGGAUAUUCUGGGUCUGUCGCAUGAUGGUUCUGGGAAAGAUAUUGUUUCGGUGGGGGAUGGGCUCGCGGCCUAUCAGCUUGUUGGUGGGGUGAUGGCCUACCAAGGCGGUGGCGGGUAGCCGGCCUGAGAGGGAGGAAGGGCAGGGCGGGGAGGAGGAACAGCCAAAACGGGUAUGAGAGGCAGCAGAGGGGAAUAUGGGAGGAAGGGGGGAGGACUAAUGGAGAGAGGGCGCGAGAGGGAUGGAGGCAUGCGGGUUGAGAGACGCUGGCGUUAGGGAAGUAGAGCUGCCUCGUUUGUGAGUGGGAUGACGGUAGCUGGAGAAGAAGCGCCGGCUAACUACGUG
Molecule: ribosomal RNA, 494 nt
Filed under: uncultured bacterium
Lineage: Bacteria
Description: partial 16S ribosomal RNA
Rfam family: Bacterial small subunit ribosomal RNA
Source: RNAcentral